RNAcentral lists this long non-coding RNA (627 nucleotides) under Elaeis guineensis (African oil palm). Its description in RNAcentral is "long non-coding RNA (EGUI_LNC027048)". The record is from RNAcentral. Lineage: Eukaryota; Viridiplantae; Streptophyta; Magnoliopsida; Arecales; Arecaceae.
GCCGAAAUAAACAUAUAUAGAUUGGACGUCCAUAGAAACAAACCACAGACUGAAUUUGUCAAACAGUUAAUAACAUUAUACUGCUUCUAAUAUGAUACAUGAAAGGUACACUCCAUUAACAUUAUCCAUACUGGCAUUUUUUUUUUUUGAUACUAAAUACUUGGCUUUCCCCACUCUUUUUGCGGUACUGAAUACAUACUUCUAAAUUGUGUAUUGAGUACGUACUUCUAAAUUGUGAUAGGAUAUACAUAGAAGCAAAAAGAAAAACUACUAUGGAGCAUACAGGCAAAUCUUAGUAGAAUGGCCGGCGAUGGUGAGGCACAACCAAAACCCAUUCUCGGACGACUUGGGUGCUACCAAGGGCAGACUCUUUCUUUGCAGGAGGGUUUGGGACUGGCUUGGAGUAGUAGCAAACAUUAGCUGGUGGUGGCCGCCUCUUUCGACCCAAGCACUCAUCCAGUAUGUCAAAGGCCUCCCUCCCAACCUUAGCAAGGUGAUCCCUCUGAGGAUCCAUGCACAAGAAUAACUCAGGUGAGUACAAGAGCUAAGAGAUUCUUAGAUUUGGGUUGUUGGGACCUUGUGGCUGGCCAUGCCUUCUUAUAGACAGGACUCUUCUCUGUUGACCCA